This 1560-nucleotide ribosomal RNA is filed under the name Triticum aestivum (bread wheat). Its description in RNAcentral is "partial small subunit ribosomal RNA". Lineage: Eukaryota; Viridiplantae; Streptophyta; Magnoliopsida; Poales; Poaceae. The record is from RNAcentral.
AUGGACCCUUCCUCGGCCGGCGCCGGCGGCAACUCGCUGCCGUCGGUCGGCCCCGACGGGCAGAAGCGGCGCGUGUGCUACUUCUACGACUCGGAGGUGGGCAACUACUACUACGGGCAGGGCCACCCGAUGAAGCCGCACCGCAUCCGCAUGACCCACUCGCUGCUGGCGCAGUACGGCCUCCUCGACCAGAUGCAGGUGCUGCGCCCCAACCCCGCCCGCGACCGCGACCUCUGCCGCUUCCACGCCGACGACUACAUCUCCUUCCUCCGCUCCGUCACGCCCGAGACGCAGCAGGACCAGAUCCGGGCCCUCAAGCGCUUCAACGUCGGCGAGGACUGCCCCGUCUUCGACGGCCUCUACAGCUUCUGCCAGACCUACGCGGGGGCCUCCGUCGGCGGCGCCGUCAAGCUCAACCACGGCCUUGACAUCGCCAUCAACUGGUCCGGGGGCCUGCACCACGCUAAGAAGUGCGAGGCCUCGGGGUUCUGCUACGUCAACGACAUCGUACUCGCCAUCCUCGAGCUCCUCAAGCACCACCAGCGAGUUCUAUAUGUCGAUAUUGAUAUCCACCAUGGUGAUGGAGUUGAGGAGGCAUUCUACACGACAGACAGGGUUAUGACAGUCUCUUUUCACAAGUUUGGGGAUUAUUUCCCAGGCACAGGGGAUGUCCGUGAUAUUGGGCAUUCAAAAGGAAAGUAUUACUCCCUUAAUGUCCCUCUGGAUGAUGGGAUUGAUGACGAAAGCUACCAGUCCCUGUUUAAGCCUAUAAUGGCCAAAGUUAUGGAGGUUUUCCAGCCUGGUGCAGUUGUUCUUCAAUGUGGCGCCGAUUCAUUAUCUGGGGAUAGGUUGGGCUGCUUCAAUCUUUCGAUCAGAGGUCAUGCAGAAUGCGUGAAGUACAUGAGGUCUUUCAAUGUUCCAUUGUUGCUUCUUGGCGGUGGUGGCUAUACCAUAAGAAAUGUUGCACGAUGUUGGUGUUAUGAGACAGGAGUUGCACUUGGCCAAGAGCUCGAGGAUAAGAUGCCUGUCAAUGAGUACUAUGAAUACUUCGGUCCAGAUUACACUCUUCAUGUAGCACCAAGUAACAUGGAGAACAAAAAUACACGCUACGAACUGGAUAAUAUAAGAACCAAACUUCUUGACAAUCUUUCAAAACUUCGACAUGCCCCUAGCGUUCAGUUUCAAGAGCGACCUCCUGAUACUGAGUUCCCUGAGCCGGAUGAAGAUGAAGAGGAUCAGGAUGAAAGGCAUGAUGACCCUGAUUCUGAUAUGGAAUUGGAGUAUCACACACCUUUGGAAGACUCAGCGAGGAGAAUCACUAUUCAAGGUACAAGAGUUAAGAGAGAAUCAGCUGGAGCUGAGACAAAAGACCAGGAUGGUAGCAGAGUAACAGGUGAACAUAGAGGAUCAGAACCUAUGGCGGAAGACAUCGGCCCCUCCAAGCAAGCUCAUCAGGUCGACGCUAAUGCCAUGGCCGUCGAUGAGCCCGGAAAUGUCAAGACCGAAUCAGGAAGCUCUACCAAGUUGCCUGACCCACCAGCCAUCUACCAGAAGCCAUGA